RNAcentral lists this ribosomal RNA (372 nucleotides) under Triticum aestivum (bread wheat). RNAcentral describes it as "partial small subunit ribosomal RNA". The record is from RNAcentral. Lineage: Eukaryota; Viridiplantae; Streptophyta; Magnoliopsida; Poales; Poaceae.
AUGCCAAUGAAGAAGCUGCCGCAGCCCAAGGCGACCAUCGGCAAGCAGCAGGAUGUCUCCGACGCGAAGGCGAAGCGGCCUCCCAAGAUCUUCCGCGAGCCUUUGGCCAAGAAGACGACGGAAAUCAUCAAAAAGGCGUCCGAUCCUGCCGCCGGCUUCGUCGACGGUGACCGUGCCGGGUUCUUCUCGGAGGACAAGAUGGAAGCCGCGAAGCGCAAGCUUCGCCAAGGUUACCAAGGAGCAGAGGACGCGAAACGGCGGCGCAAGACGCAGUUGGUGCAGGCGCCCAAGAUGAUGCAGCCAAUCAGGAGGUGCAGCAGCUCCAUGGUUAAGAAAACCUUCGCGAUCAGGAGCCAGCUUCACAUGGCUUAG